Molecule: unclassified non-coding RNA, 193 nt
Filed under: soil metagenome
Description: partial contains 5.8S ribosomal RNA, internal transcribed spacer 2, and large subunit ribosomal RNA
Source: RNAcentral
AACGCACGAGACCUGCGGACCUGCGGAGGGAUCAUUACCGAGUUAUCCAACUCCCAACCCCUGUGAAUUAUACCUUUAAUUGUUGCUUCGGCGGGACUUCGCGCCCGCCGGGGACCCGAACCUUCUGAAUUUUUUAAUAAGUAUCUUCUGAGUGGUUAAAAAAAUGAAUCAAAACUUUCAACAAUGGAUCUCU